Molecule: transfer RNA, 75 nt
Filed under: Helicobacter sp. 11S02596-1
Lineage: Bacteria; Pseudomonadati; Campylobacterota; Epsilonproteobacteria; Campylobacterales; Helicobacteraceae
Also listed under: 4 other names
Description: tRNA-Thr
Rfam family: tRNA
About the family: Transfer RNA (tRNA) molecules are approximately 80 nucleotides in length. Their secondary structure includes four short double-helical elements and three loops (D, anti-codon, and T loops).
Source: RNAcentral
GCCCAUAUAGCUCAGUGGUAGAGCACUUCCUUGGUAAGGAAGAGGCCGGCGGUUCAAUCCCGCUUAUGGGCUCCA